CACACGUGACACAAUAGACUAUUUUUUUUUUUUUAACUGUAAAAAUACCAACUGUUAAAUAUAUUGGUGACGAUGUAUAUUUUGAUCGUUUUAGACCUAAACGACAGAACAAUACUGUGGGAAUUGAGCGAUUUUAAUUUUAAAAAUGGAUUAUGAUUUGGGAAACCAUCACUAAUUCCCUCAAAUAUACACAUAAAUUAUUAUGUACUUACAUACUAUGUGUACAUGAUUAUGUACUUGCAACGCAUUUAUAUGAAACAUUUUAUAUAUUUAUGUUUAUAAUUUAUAAUAACAGUAAUAAUAAUUUAAUAUGUGUGUUUUGUGGGCCGUUCAUAUAUUAGUCGUUAUCGUUAAGUUAUGUAUUAAUGGUUUCCGAGUGUAUUAUAUUCUAGUAUUAUUGUUUUCGACGUUCGCAUACACAAUAAUAAUAUAAUCGUAAAUAAUAAUAAUAAUAAUAACAAUAAUUACAACAAUGGUAGCGAUAACAAUAUAAUUAUAACGAUGACGACAAUAAAGACGGUCGACUCCGCCCGCGUUUCUCGAUCCAUCCGUAAGGCUGAGGCCGCACACAAGCGUUUUCACCGCAAUGUCAGACUGAGUAGAAAAUAUUCGACAGCACCCGGAUGCGUUUUUGUUGAGGAUCGGUGACGGAGUUUGUAUUUUAAUCGUAUUAUAACCUUUGAGCCAUACAAAACUGUAGGAUGUAUGUUUGACGAAUUUAAAUUUUGAAAACGGAUUACGAUUCUAUAAUAGGUUCUUUACAAGGAUAGGUACGUACGUAGAAAUAGAAAAUAAAUAUUAUUUUACU
Molecule: non-coding RNA, 808 nt
Organism: Cinara cedri
Lineage: Eukaryota; Metazoa; Arthropoda; Insecta; Hemiptera; Aphididae
Source: the annotation of a GenBank genome assembly